AACAUCGCGCACCUGCGGGAACCUGCGGAAGGAUCAUUACAGAGUUGCAAAACUCCCUAAACCAUUGUGAACGUUACCUAAACCGUUGCUUCGGCGGGCGGCCCGGGUCCUUCCCGGCGCCCAUCGGCCCUCGCGGGCGCCCGCCGGAGGUAAACCAAACUAUUGCAUUGUAUGGCCUCUCUGAGUCUUCUGUACUGAAUAAGUCAAAACUUUCAACAAUUGAUCUCAGAUCGGAAGAGC
This 240-nucleotide unclassified non-coding RNA is filed under the name soil metagenome. RNAcentral's name for it is "partial contains 5.8S ribosomal RNA, internal transcribed spacer 2, and large subunit ribosomal RNA". The record is from RNAcentral.